CCUACGGGUGGCAGCAGUGAGGAAUAUUGGUCAAUGGACGCAAGUCUGAACCAGCCAUGCCGCGUGCAGGAAGACGGCUCUAUGAGUUGUAAACUGCUUUUGUACGAGGGUAAACGCAGAUACGCGUAUCUGUCUGCAAGUAUCUUACGAAUAAGGAUCGGCUAACUCCGUGCCAGCAGCCGCGGUAAUACGGAGGAUUCAAGCGUUAUCCGGAUUUAUUGGGUUUAAAGGGUGCGUAGGCGGGCGGAUAAGUUAGAGGUGAAAGCCCGGGGCUCAACUUCGGAAUUGCCUCUGAUACUGUUCGGCUAGAGAGUAGGUGAGGUAGGCGGAAUGUAUGGUGUAGCGGUGAAAUGCUUAGAGAUCAUACAGAACACCGAUUGCGAAGGCAGCUUACCAAGCUACGUCUGACGUUGAGGCACGAAAGCGUGGGGAGCAAACAGGAAUAGAUACCCGAGUAGUC
RNAcentral lists this ribosomal RNA (460 nucleotides) under uncultured bacterium. RNAcentral's name for it is "partial 16S ribosomal RNA". It matches the Rfam family "Bacterial small subunit ribosomal RNA", at positions 338 to 795 of the family's 1533-position model. The record is from RNAcentral.